ACUUUCUGUGUUUCUUUAACACCAACAGUGAGAAGGAUCACAGGUGGAUGCCUCUGUUUUGGGCUCAUCAGUGUUGAGUGCCUGCCUGGCAGCCUCUGGCUGCUUCUGUCCACAUCAACAUUCUGUGGGGUGCUGGAGUUGGCAACACAUGCCAUGCUCUCUGCUUCUCUGGGAGGGAGACCCCAGGAGCUGCACUCCCAGGUAAGGUGAUGGGCAGAGUAAAAGCAUGCUUGAUUAGGCAAGGGGUAUUCUGGGGGUCCCGGGAAAGACCAUCACACCUCUGCUUCUGACUUGACAGAAGUUUCCAGAGAAGCCAUGUGACUCGGGGGAGAGGUGAGAUUCAGGGCCCAGGGUGGCACCAGGUCAGCCAAGUUGCUGCCUGGGCUGAGUUUGCACACAAACCUUCCCUUUAUGGGAUGCAGAGUUCUUGUCUGUGCAGUGAGUUCUGAUGGUAACCACAGGAAGGAACCUGCAAAACACCUGGGCAAGAAUGCACAUUGGACAAGAACUAGAUCCUAGCCCCGUGCCUCAGGAUGUGGAGCACUAACAGCCCAGUAGUUGUGUUACCUUUGAAAAGCAUUGAAAUCAUCCAGCAUGUUCUGUCCUACUAAAUUAAGGAAGCUUGGUCUCAAAGAGAUAAUGCAUAAUAGCUCUCAUGGCAAAUGGAGCUAGGAGUUAGACCCUGAGCUAUGAGGCCCGUGGCCUUUCAAAACAGGGAACCUCAACUAGGACUUGGCAUUUUGUCUUGCAACAUUCUUUUGUUGUUUUCCCUGACAUCAAGAUUUUCUAGUGAUUGAUCAAGUCUUUGUGGGAUGCAAAUUUGAGACACUGCUUCCUAUUAAAGGAGAUUAUUCAGGUAAAUUAUACUACUAGUCAUUGGAGGAUUCAAAAACCCACAAAUGCAAUAUAUGCACAUGUGACCAGCUUUCAGUACAGUGAGCUGGCUCCCAGCUGCAAACCAUCAGAACCUUGUGUGCAAACCCUAUGAAGAUGCUGCUCCGGAUUCUGGACAAUGUUUCUGUCC
RNAcentral lists this long non-coding RNA (1024 nucleotides) under Oryctolagus cuniculus (rabbit). RNAcentral describes it as "lncRNA (ENSOCUG00000029867.1)". The record is from RNAcentral. Lineage: Eukaryota; Metazoa; Chordata; Mammalia; Lagomorpha; Leporidae.